RNAcentral lists this ribosomal RNA (450 nucleotides) under uncultured bacterium. RNAcentral's name for it is "partial 16S ribosomal RNA". It matches the Rfam family "Bacterial small subunit ribosomal RNA", at positions 354 to 796 of the family's 1533-position model. The record is from RNAcentral.
GUGGGGAAUAUUGGACAAUGGGCGAAAGCCUGAUCCAGCCAUGCCGCGUGUGUGAAGAAGGUCUUCGGAUUGUAAAGCACUUUAAGUUGGGAGGAAGGGCAGUAAGUUAAUACCUUGCUGUUUUGACGUUACCGACAGAAUAAGCACCGGCUAACUUCGUGCCAGCAGCCGCGGUAAUACGAAGGGUGCAAGCGUUAAUCGGAAUUACUGGGCGUAAAGCGCGCGUAGGUGGUUUUGUAAGUUGGAGGUGAAAUCCCCGGGCUCAACCUGGGAACUGCCUCCAGAACUGCAUGACUAUGGUACAGUAGAGGGUAGUGGAAUUUCCUGCGUAGCGGUGAAAUGCGUAGAUAUAGGAAGGAACACCAGUGGCGAAGGCGACUACCUGGACUGAUACUGACACUGAGGUGCGAAAGCGUGGGGAGCAAACAGGAUUAGAUACCCCUGUAGUCC